UAAAAUGCAGAUUUCUGAGUCUAUCCUCAGGAAGUCUGAUUUUUUUUUUAAGUCAAAGAUGGGGCCCAGGAAUCUGCAUUUUUCA
This 85-nucleotide microRNA precursor is filed under the name Ochotona princeps (American pika). RNAcentral describes it as "miRNA (ENSOPRG00000022762.1)". Lineage: Eukaryota; Metazoa; Chordata; Mammalia; Lagomorpha; Ochotonidae. The record is from RNAcentral.